This 4013-nucleotide small RNA is filed under the name Histoplasma capsulatum. RNAcentral describes it as "hypothetical RNA". The record is from RNAcentral. Lineage: Eukaryota; Fungi; Ascomycota; Eurotiomycetes; Onygenales; Ajellomycetaceae. RNAcentral also lists the same sequence under 1 other name.
GUGGCGAAGAGAUAUCUAUCAAAUACUACAAUUAACAUCCUAUCAGGAAUGGGCAGUUUUAUUUACGCUAGUCUUGACUCCCCGCUCCUGAAUGGAAUGGUCCGCACCAACCGCUCGUCCCUAUUUUCUACAACUGCUUUAGGGAGCAAUGAAGGAAGUAAGCCUCGAGGAUGCGCUGAGGGCAAUUGGCUCAGACCUGCAAAGGAAUCGUGUAGCUGGGCUUGAAGAUCUCAAACAUAUCUUUCUGCGGAAUAGACAAACACCUAAGCUGAACAAUCUCACUGAUAAGGAGUAUCAUAAAAUCUUCGAAACCCUGUUUCGGUUUAUUUCCACCGAGAAGUCCUCCUACAAACGUACGUCGAAGACCCCUGUAUCCAAAUCCACAUCGGGAACGAGACUCACAAGUUGUGUUUCUGCCCUCCGAGCGACUGUUGAGCUGGGUGUACAUAAAAUCCGCUCAAAAACCGUGGCCGCUUUGCUCGACCAUGUCACCGAUGCAAUCCAAACACUGGGAGAUGCACUAUGGGAACUACUUAGCGGCGACUACAUAAAGAUUUUGAAGACAAUAUUGCAGUAUCCGCCUCAUUUGGAGCACUUGAGCAAGGGCGAUUGGCAUCAUGUCGUUAAUUUCUGUCUCCAAGCGACUGGGGUCAUAGAACCAAACCAGGAGACUCAGCUGAGCAUUCGGUCCCGUACACGUCUUCCAUCUGAAAGUCUGGGUGAUCGAGGAAGUCGUGCCAGUUCUAUCGAACCCGAUACUCUUCGGCGCAAUAAAAGUUCCGGAUUUGAGAACAGUACAAAGACCGAAGAGCUAGAGACUUGUAUGCAAUUGUUGUGCUCCUAUCCUUCCGCACCCAUCAUUGAUGAUGCCGAAAAGCUGCUCCAUGGCCUUGUGGACUAUCUUCAAUCACAGAGUAGCAUUUCUAAAACUCCCCAUGCCGCAUUUAGCGCAUUCAAUUCUGUUCUUGCAAAGUUGAUAACGUAUGACAUUAUUCUUGUUAGAGACGCUUUGUUGGAUGUCAUCCCAAUAAUAAAACGAUUCUGGCGUACGAAAUCUGCUAUCUUGAAGGAUGAGAUGUUGAUAACGCUGAUGAUUGGGAGACCCAUUUUCGUUCAAUCUAGUCUCUCAUCUCCACCAGAUUCAUUCGCGGAACGACUCCAAGACCUAACCGAGCAACUGUAUCAGGAGUACACGAGGCAACCAGAAAAGGACUUCAUGCAAGUGGACGAUUUGGUGUUUACGUUUGACCAACCCCCCAGACCUAUGGGCAUCAGGACAAUGGCUCCACGCCUGGGAGUUCCUAGGUCUGAACAAACUUGGAUCACUUUGCAAGCAAUUGCUGUUUUUUCGACGCUUUUAGACAAUAUGUACCUCAGCCUAGAUGAGGGGCCACAAACAACAGGACGACCGAAUAAGAAACAACAUCUCUUGUCAAGGAGAUCCGAUAUUGUUCGUGAAGCUUCGAGUUCUGCAGGAGUAACAAGAAUAUGUGCAUUGCAAUUGCUUCCAUUCAUUUUCUCAGAACGCGAGCCCGUGGUUGAAGAGUUAUUAACAACUAUAGCGCAGCUUACAGUAAAUAUUUUAGACGAAAACAGUUCCACAGCGUCAUGGACCAUGGUAGCACUUGCAAGUAUGGCUAGUUUUAUUGCUGCUACUUCGCAGGAAUUGCGUCCUUUGUGGGUUCAAGUUUGGGAGCUGACUUGUCGCGCCCUGGGCUCUCCCACCACAUCUAGGACUGCUUGUAAUUUGCUGACAGCAAUUCUCCAUUUCGAGCUACUAGAUUAUUCAAUUGUGGGGGAUACAAUUGAAUCGAUGAUAUCCUCUGUUGAUCUUAAUGGCCCCUCAGGUCUAACCGACUCCGCGUUGCGCAUGUGGGCAAAGCUGGUAGACUUCCGAACAAAGUUCAAUCCCGCACAGAACCAAGAUAUGUCAAAGCAAAUUUGCACAUGGAUAAGAAAUAGCUGGACUUUAACUGACCGCGUCUAUACGAUGCAAGUUGCUACCUUUGCACGACCUUUGGACCUUCUCAAUAUCCUGAUGAAGUGCACUGGGAGAUCUUUCGACCCUCCCUAUCCUGUCCUUCCGGGGCCUCUUUGCAGGAUCUCAAGGUGCUUUAUUAGGCUCCGUCAGGAUUGCAAGCUGAUUGAUUAUCUGUUUCUCACAGCACGACAAGGUCCUGCAAAUGAGACCACAGCGGAUACGGCAAGGCUUACAUAUAUUAGCUCUUCAGUGAAGCAGCACCCCGAUGACCAACUUAUUUUGGAACUAUUGCAAUCGAAAAUAGACAAUUUCUGUCAAAUUUGGAGUCAGCUAAACGAUGAUAAUCACCAACAUGUUACCAUUGAAAUCAUUCAGAUUUUAGUAUCUCUCUGCAUCACAAGUACCGUAUUUACUCAAUCACUUCCGUUACCUGUUUCACUCCGGUGUCAAUAUUUACAGAAAAGCACUGAAAAGCUUUGGGUAAGCCUCUGUGGCUUUUUCUCGAGGAAUGAAGUGGAAUUUCUUGAUUCCUGCUUGGAUGUUCUGUCUCCAAUCAUUCUGCGCUUGAAGCUGUCAUUCGACAUCAAUGAUCCAGUUAUGAAGGCCAUUCAACUUAUCGCUCCUGAUUUUAUUGCCGUCUUAGACCAUCACAAUGGUGCAGAGCUGGACUCGUCUAAUUCCGCAGCUGACCAAAUGGAUCUCGAUAAUCAUUUUUCAUCUCAAGAUAGCCACAUAAGAGAUAACGACUUCGCUCCGAAAUUCGAUCGAGAGGAUAUCCCUGCAUACGGGGACCAGAAUGCAGUUCGCCGUGCGACAGCCACUCACCUACAUAUAUUAUAUUACCUAAACGGCGCAAACAAGAGUUCCGAAGCCCCUAGGAAUGGGACCAUAGUCGCUCAUGUCACAUCACUUGACACUGCGGACAUUCUCGCUGCUCGAACCAAUCUGGUAGCCCUUCUUGGCAGCUGGCCAAGCAUUUCUAGAUCCGACGCCUGCAGUUUGCUUGUGUUCUUCGGGGAAACGAUACUACAAUCAUAUGAGUUUAAAAUGUGCGAAGCUGCUUUAUCCAUUUGUAUUGAACUUACGACAGCUUUUAUUGAUCUUUGGACUACGGACGAAGACGACGAACUUUUUGAAUCUGCUGUUGAUCUUUACAAUUGGUAUGCGUUACUAGUUGAAGAAAGCUUGGGUUCCCCAAGAGUCCUGAUAAGGAUUGCUACGUUGAUGGGACGUAUCCUUCGAGCUGACCCCAUGUAUCCAAGGGACAGCUCGCGUCCCUCGCCCCGUACUAUCCUGUUUAAGAUCUUACACGACGGGGAUCUUACUGUGAAGUUCCACCUGUCCGGGAUUAUUCCAUCAGUGUUCGACGGCUUUAUUUUAAAAGAACAUGACGCCAUAUUUGACGAUAUUCUGGAGAACCUUCCUCGUGACCCUGACCGGAACGAAGGCAUUGCAUUACGCCUAUAUCUCCUAGCACAAUUAGCGUCUAGAUGGCAUACCCUUCUACGCCGCGGAAUAUAUCACAUAUUUGAAGCUCCCGGGCAACUGCCCAAAUCAGCGCCAUAUGCAAAAGCUUGCUUACAAGAGGUCGCGCGUUCCCUCAACCUCGAUGAUGCUAAAGAAAUUUUUAGGCUCUUUGCCUCUCAGAUGAUAUAUACGUGGCUCGAAACAGAGUCUUUGGGGUCCAUUCCGUUUACCAUAUUUGGUUAUCAGGCGCUUAAUGACUUACUAAUAGAUGUUGAGGACGAAGUUGUAGCCCAAAUUGUGAUGCGGGGCAAGGAUCAAGAGAUGACCGAGGUUUCGAAUUGUUUGGGUAUGACCUUCCGAGGAUUACUGGAGCACUGUUUUUAUAAAGCCGAAGCAUACUGUAUUGCCCGCGACAUAAGCAUCCCACCUUCACAGGACAGCCAGCCAAAAGGAACCCAGGGUCGCAUCAAGAAGAUUCUGGGGGCUGAACAAUUUGGUUCCUUACUGGAAAGAUAUUUCCCUGAAACAAUUGCCGUAUUUUUCAAAUGCGUGGACCAAACGGAAC